Molecule: ribosomal RNA, 250 nt
Filed under: uncultured bacterium
Lineage: Bacteria
Description: partial 16S ribosomal RNA
Rfam family: Bacterial small subunit ribosomal RNA
Source: RNAcentral
GCAAGUCGAACGGUAACAUUGAAGCUUGCUUCAGAUGACGAGUGGCGGACGGGUGAGUAACGCGUGGGAAUCUACCUAGUAGUUGGGGAUAGCCCGGAGAAAUCCGGAUUAAUACCGAAUAAGGUCUACGGACGAAAAGGUGCCUCUUCUUGAAAGCACUUGCUAUUAGAUGAGCCCGCGUUAGAUUAGUUAGUUGGUGGGGUAAAGGCCUACCAAGACCACGAUCUAUAGCUGGUUUGAGAGGAUGAUC